Long non-coding RNA from Haliotis rubra (blacklip abalone), 516 nucleotides. RefSeq lists it as uncharacterized. NCBI's taxonomy places the organism in Eukaryota, Metazoa, Mollusca, Gastropoda, Lepetellida, Haliotidae. The transcript has 4 exons. The record is from RefSeq and is a predicted model, not a curated record.
GUGUAUUAGUUAAUCAUAUUUUCAUUAUCACCAAGGAAUAUAUUAAUAAAGUAAGAUAUACCUCCGCAGAUUUAAAUUUUGAUCAACUCUUCUACCUCAUAAAAAAACACUACACUUUAAAUUAUAGUCCUCUUGAGUGUUUUGUUCAUUCCAUAACCUUGUUCGUAGAAUAGUUUUAUCUUUAGUCAACAAAUAUACUGUGGGUUGGCUGAAAAGCCAGGGAUGCUACCCAUAAGGUUGGUAUCGGAAGAAACGUUAUUCUUUCUUCUUUGUUUCAUGUUUUACACUCAUAGAAUCACUUUGUCUUCCACUCACUGUCAUGUUUACAAAAGAAAACUGGGACAUAACAUUGUACAUGGACUAUGUAAAAUCACAGGGAAGAAAUAUAUAAAUACUUCGCAAUGGUAGAUAGCGUAAGAAUAUUAUGUUCAAACUGUCAAGGGUUAAAUAAUGAAAACAAAAGAAUAGAUGUGUUUAGAAAUUUUAAAGAGAAAAAUGAACACAUUCAUUGCAUUU